UAGCAGCAGCAGCAGCAGCAACAGCAGCAACAGCAGCAACAGCAGCAACAGCAGCAAUAGCAGCAGCAGCAGCAGCAACAGCAGCAACAGCAGCAACAGCAGCAAUAGCAGCAG
This 114-nucleotide microRNA precursor is filed under the name Mus musculus (house mouse). RNAcentral describes it as "predicted gene, 54770 (ENSMUSG00002075129.1)". Lineage: Eukaryota; Metazoa; Chordata; Mammalia; Rodentia; Muridae. The record is from RNAcentral.